Etheostoma spectabile (orangethroat darter) is the source of this 2342-nucleotide long non-coding RNA. RefSeq lists it as uncharacterized. The record is from RefSeq and is a predicted model, not a curated record. Lineage: Eukaryota; Metazoa; Chordata; Actinopteri; Perciformes; Percidae. The transcript has 3 exons.
UUGUUUUUCGUUUCUGGCUCUCAGAACUCAUCACUUCCCAGAAGAUAGGUGAUCAAAGAUAGAGACAACAGGAUGCCGAAGAGAUAUCACAGAGAAUAUUUCCAGCUCCAAAUCAAGUCUCCUGCUAUUAUCUGCUGUGUGAGAAACACCUAUGGGAACCUCAACAGAAAAGGCAAUAUCAACAAUUUCACACAAAGGACCAAAUAGCAGAAUUAUGCUUUCAAAAACAUCUGUCUCGCAUGGUUCUGGCCUUCCUGCAGCUUUGAACAUCUCAGCUUGUGGUUCCAGAUUAAUAAAACAGGAAAUUAAUGAAUUUUGGAUGAAAUCUUCCCAGCUGGGGGCAGGUUGUGCCUCAUUAAGGCCUGUAUUUUUGAUCAGAUUGAAAACCUCCAGCACCUCUGGACCCAAACUGUUGUAACCAGGCACCCGACUCUCCCCUCCUCCAUAAAGAAUGGUAAUUGCACAGACGUAAAGGAUUAAUAGCUAAUUGAGCAUAUUUUCAGACCAAUCAUCAUCAUGGCUUGACACUAAAACAAAUGUCUUUAAUAUGCAUGGAGCCUGUCACACAUAGUUAGUUUGGUAAUAUGGAAAAGAUUGAGAGAUCUAAAAGAAAAAAAAGGAAUUUAAACAGCAUUCUGAGGCCCGUAUCCCCCUUAUAACUGAUGAAUGAGGGAUGCAAAUUUUACUGGAAUGAGGCAUAUAUUUGGCAUCGUUUUCAUCCAUCCAUUCUCGAGAAGCAGUUCUGUACUCAAUAGAAUAAAAUAAUACAGUGACCCUGAGUUGUGAAAUCUUCAGUUCAGUCUCCUCAAAGUUGUUUCUAACUCAGUUCAGUGAAAAAUUGAUAUAAAUAUUCUCAUCUAGGUUUAAAACUCACAUUAAAUGCUGAAUUCACUUAUAUGUCAAUUUUGUUAACAGGGCAUCAAAGGUCUUUCUCUGUGUGACAACUGUGUGUAGUUGCAUCAUGUGGUUCCAUUUUGUUGUUUUCUUUUUGGUGACUAUAUUUUUUUCUCCCAAGCAGCUUUCCAUAAAAAAUUAAAUGGAUGCUAAGUGACUAAUGCAUUUUCUCAGUCGUGUGUUGAGACAAUAAAAAAUUAACAAUAGAAGUAAUUCAUUUUGAUUGGUGCCUACAGUACUAAACAACUUGUGUUGUGCCCUUAUAAGUAAUGCAUAUCUCAUGCAAAUUUGCCUCUUCACUUACAUGCAAAAUAUUGUUGCAUCCGUGUUAUAUAAAUUCUGAAAGACUUUAAACUUAUGUUCCAGCAUGUUAUGAUUGCAGUAUGCCCCUGUGCACCUCUGCCUGGCUUUGAAAUAUUUGCUGUUAUUUUGAAGUUCCACCCAGUCAUCUAAUAUGCAUUUAACCAGAGGUAAACAUGCAUCCCAAGCAAGAUCUCAUUUUGUAACUAUUAAUUCUUACCUUUCUCCCUGGCAUGCCUCAUUGUCACACUAUUGUAAACAUCUUUCUUUUUGUUUUGCUGUCUGCUACUUGGCAUAUCCCCACCACCUCGGCAUGCCUUAGAUUUAACUGUCAUUUAGCCUAAUGCAGCAUCCAGUUCUCCUUGUUUACAUGAUGUUAGCCUGACUACUACCACUGUGACAACAUUAGUUUGUUUGUUUCCUGAAGUGAUUCAACAAAUAGAUUCAAUGGUACCCGGAUACCUACAGUGCAAGUGUGAAUCAGUAUUGCAUUGUAAAAGUAAUUGGUGUGUAAUAUGGUCAUGAAUUGAGCCAUGGACUACAGUUUAACGCCUCGUGUUGUCUUCCCGUCGACCGAGCAACUUUUUGUUUUUAUGAGUCAAAAUGUGAAAAAAUUUUAAGGCAUUUGUUCAUUUUUUUAUUGAUACUUUUGUUGCUUUGAUAUUUUUGUCACUUUUUACAAUGUUUUCUAUCACUUUUUUCCACAAUAUAUGUCACGUUCUGCAUUUUUCCCCACAUAUUUUAAGCUAUUUUCAACGUUCAGUUGAAAAAAAAAUUCAAUUGAAUAAAACAUAUAAAUUCAUUUAAAGUACUGAACUGAUCAUUUUUUUUAUUUGUACAGAGCGUUGCAGGGGACCGCCACAUUUUUUCUUUUGAAUCUGUUUGAAAGAAACACAAAUUUAUAAUAUAGAAACCUUUUGAAAAUGGGUCAAAUUUGACCCGAGGACAACAGGGGAGAGUUAAAGGUGUUCUUUCACAGCUGGGUAUAACAAUAGAAUUGGUAGGGAAAACCUGAACAAUACAAAACAGAACAAAACAACAAGAUUCCGGCAUAAAUGAAAAGUGAGGGGGGUGUAGUGCUGCAGACAGGCAGAGGUGAAGAGAUGGGUCUUGAGGCGGGACUGGAAGAUUGUGAGGGACUCAGAGGU